This is a long non-coding RNA of Hyla sarda, 512 nucleotides long. RefSeq lists it as uncharacterized. The transcript has 5 exons. NCBI's taxonomy places the organism in Eukaryota, Metazoa, Chordata, Amphibia, Anura, Hylidae. The record is from RefSeq and is a predicted model, not a curated record.
CGCAAUUACAAUUCUCGUGAUCAAAAUCAGGACUGACCAAGAAGCGGUACGCACUUUGAUUGAACUCAUGGAUGAACAAGAACCACAACCUACAGAGACCCUGCCAUCUUUUUUAAAAGACACCAAUGAUGUACUAAGAAAAUUAGACAACUUGCAACUCGAAUCCGAUAUGGUUAUAGCUACCUGUGAUGUGGAGGCACUUUACACUUCUAUCCGACAUAGUGACGGAAUACGAGCGAAAAAGUACUUCUGCCAACACUAUACUUCAUGCAAAAUCCGGACACCCCACGACACCUAGUGAAUAACAUUCCAACUGGACAAUAUCUUCGGGCACGACGUAUUUGUUCCAAUACCUUGGACUUCGAGAAACAAGCUGAAGAUCUUCAGGUUAAAAGACGUACCACCAAACAGGAUUCCGAUACCGUUAGAUUCAUCACAACAUACCACUCACGGACCCAAGAUAUGAACACAGCAAUUGCAAAAUACUGGCCCUUACUUACGACAGACCAGGU